RNAcentral lists this ribosomal RNA (486 nucleotides) under Salmonella enterica. RNAcentral describes it as "bacterial SSU rRNA". It matches the Rfam family "Bacterial small subunit ribosomal RNA", at positions 1029 to 1515 of the family's 1533-position model. RNAcentral also lists the same sequence under 1 other name. Lineage: Bacteria; Pseudomonadati; Pseudomonadota; Gammaproteobacteria; Enterobacterales; Enterobacteriaceae. The record is from RNAcentral.
GUGAGACAGGUGCUGCAUGGCUGUCGUCAGCUCGUGUUGUGAAAUGUUGGGUUAAGUCCCGCAACGAGCGCAACCCUUAUCCUUUGUUGCCAGCGGUUAGGCCGGGAACUCAAAGGAGACUGCCAGUGAUAAACUGGAGGAAGGUGGGGAUGACGUCAAGUCAUCAUGGCCCUUACGACCAGGGCUACACACGUGCUACAAUGGCGCAUACAAAGAGAAGCGACCUCGCGAGAGCAAGCGGACCUCAUAAAGUGCGUCGUAGUCCGGAUUGGAGUCUGCAACUCGACUCCAUGAAGUCGGAAUCGCUAGUAAUCGUGGAUCAGAAUGCCACGGUGAAUACGUUCCCGGGCCUUGUACACACCGCCCGUCACACCAUGGGAGUGGGUUGCAAAAGAAGUAGGUAGCUUAACCUUCGGGAGGGCGCUUACCACUUUGUGAUUCAUGACUGGGGUGAAGUCGUAACAAGGUAACCGUAGGGGAACCUGC